GUCAGGAUGGCCGAGCAGUCUUAAGGCGCUGCGUUCAAAUCGCAGCCUCCGCUGGAGGCUGGGUUCGAAUCCCACUUUUGACA
Molecule: transfer RNA, 83 nt
Filed under: Pan paniscus (pygmy chimpanzee)
Lineage: Eukaryota; Metazoa; Chordata; Mammalia; Primates; Hominidae
Also listed under: 1 other name
Description: tRNA-Leu (CAA) (tRNA-Leu-CAA-5-1)
Rfam family: tRNA
About the family: Transfer RNA (tRNA) molecules are approximately 80 nucleotides in length. Their secondary structure includes four short double-helical elements and three loops (D, anti-codon, and T loops).
Source: RNAcentral